Molecule: transfer RNA, 74 nt
Filed under: Candidatus Kaiserbacteria bacterium RIFCSPLOWO2_01_FULL_52_12b
Lineage: Bacteria; Candidatus Kaiseribacteriota
Description: tRNA-Gly
Rfam family: tRNA
About the family: Transfer RNA (tRNA) molecules are approximately 80 nucleotides in length. Their secondary structure includes four short double-helical elements and three loops (D, anti-codon, and T loops).
Source: RNAcentral
GCGGGUAUGGUUCAGUGGUAGAACAACUGGUUGCCAAUCAGUUGACGCGAGUUCGAUUCUCGCUACCCGCACCG